GCAUCUUCUCGGCCUUCGUGGCUAAGAUCAAGUGUAGUAUCUGUUCUUAUCAGCUUAAUCUCUGGUAGUGAGGCCAUGUGCCUCACAACUCAAGAUUAGACUUAUUUCUUGUGGGCGCCCUGGCACCAAGUUUCCUUGCAGCUGUGCUGUUGAGGCGGUCCAGGGAGCAGUGAUCAGCUUCACAUUUGCACAUCUCCGUGAAGUUCUUAAAUUGGUCCACCCCCU
RNAcentral lists this small nuclear RNA (225 nucleotides) under Acanthamoeba castellanii str. Neff. RNAcentral describes it as "U2 spliceosomal RNA". It matches the Rfam family "U2 spliceosomal RNA". Rfam says of the family: U2 is a small nuclear RNA (snRNA) component of the spliceosome (involved in pre-mRNA splicing). Complementary binding between U2 snRNA (in an area lying towards the 5' end but 3' to hairpin I) and the branchpoint sequence (BPS) of the intron results the bulging out of an unpaired adenosine, on the BPS, which initiates a nucleophilic attack at the intronic 5' splice site, thus starting the first of two transesterification reactions that mediate splicing. The record is from Rfam by way of RNAcentral. Lineage: Eukaryota; Discosea; Longamoebia; Acanthamoebidae.